AGGGACACAAGUAAUGGGGAAUGUGGGGUGGGGAGGGUACAAGCAAAGGCCAGGCACUGUACUAAGUCCUUUUCAAAUUACAACAACAAUAAAAGUUAUAAUAAUGGCUAACAUUUAUGUAGUACUUCUAUGUGUCAGGAACUGUACUAUUUUAUUUGGUUCUCAAAGCCAACAUGGCAGGUGUUACAGAUGGGGAAACAGAAGCAAACAAGUUAAUGUGACUUGUCCAGAGUCACACAACAAUUAAGUAUCUGAGGCAACAUCUAGUUGCCAAAUUAGGAAAGCUGGUCAGUAAAGUGACUACUUUGACCUUGUAUAUAAUAUUCUGUCUUUGUAAGUCUUCUCUGCCAUGAUAGAGGGGGAGAAUGUUUCACUGUCUGUUCUCAGAACUCUUCCCUGAUUUUUCAUUUACUCAGCUUUCCUGCCCUUUUAGUGAUCUUUUCUUGGACACUUAUCACUAGAUACAUUGUUCUCUUGGUUCCAUGCCUCCCGAUUCUGCAUCAGUUCAUACAAAAUUUCUCAUGUUUAUCUGAGUUCUUCAUAUUUGUUAUUUCUUGCUGUACAAUAUUCUAUUCAUAUGAUGCAAAAGAAUGCUUGAUUUAGAGACAGAUAACCUGGGUUCAAAUUCUAAGUCUGCUAUUUACUAUUUGUGUGACCUUGGGCAGGUUAUUAUGUCAGAUGAUCUCCAAGACUCCUUUCUUCUUUCUUUCUUUCUUUCUUUCUUUCUCUUUUUCUUCCUUCCUUCUUUCCUUCUUUCCUUCUUUCCUUCUUUCCUUCCUUCCUUCCUUCCUUCCUUCCUUCCUUCCUUCCUUCCUUCCUUCCUUCCUUCUUUCUUUCUCUUUCUUUCUCUUUCUUUCUCUCUCUCUCUCUUUGUUUCUCUCUUUCUCUCUCUUUCUUUCUUUCUUUCUUUCUUUCUUUCUUUCUUUCUUUCUUUCUUUCUUUCUUUCCUUAUCCUCUAAGUUUUAAGACAGAAGAGCAGCACAUAUGAGGCAAUUGGGGUUAAGUGUCUUGCCCAAGGACAUGCAGCUAGAAAGUAUCUGAUGUCAAAUUUGAACCCAGGUCCUUCCAACUCCAGGCCUGGCACUCUAGCCAUUGUGCUACC
Molecule: long non-coding RNA, 1102 nt
Filed under: Monodelphis domestica (gray short-tailed opossum)
Lineage: Eukaryota; Metazoa; Chordata; Mammalia; Didelphimorphia; Didelphidae
Description: lncRNA (ENSMODG00000043102.1)
Source: RNAcentral